This 497-nucleotide ribosomal RNA is filed under the name uncultured bacterium. RNAcentral describes it as "partial 16S ribosomal RNA". It matches the Rfam family "Bacterial small subunit ribosomal RNA", at positions 28 to 507 of the family's 1533-position model. The record is from RNAcentral.
GAUGAACGCUGGCGGCGUGCCUAAUACAUGCAAGUCGAGCGAACAGAUGAGGAGCUUGCUCCUCUGACGUUAGCGGCGGACGGGUGAGUAACACGUGGAUAACCUACCUAUAAGACUGGGAUAACUUCGGGAAACCGGAUCUAAUACCGGAUAAUAUAUUGAACCGCAUGGUUCAAUAGUGAAAGACGGUUUUGCUGUCACUUAUAGAUGGAUCCGCGCCGCAUUAGCUAGUUGGUAAGGGAACGGCUUACCAAGGCAACGAUGCGUAGCCGACCUGAGAGGGUGGUCGGCCACAUUGGAACUGAGAAACGGUACAGACUCCUACGGGAGGCAGCAGUAGGGAAUCUUACGCAAUGGGCGAGAGCCUGACGGAGCAACGUCGCGUGAGUGAUGAAGGUCUUCGGAUCGUAAAACUCUGUUAUUAGGGAAGAACAAAUGUGUAAGUAACUAUGCACGUCUUGACGGUACCUAAUCAGAAAGCCACGGCUAACUACGUG